UCCGGUUUGUCACCGGCAGUCUCGCAUGAGUCCCCAACUAAAUGCUGGCAACAUGCGACGGGGGUUGCGCUCGUUGCGGGACUUAACCCAACAUCUCACGACACGAGCUGACGACAGCCAUGCACCACCUGUGAUCGUGCCCCGAAGGGAGGGUGUGUUUCCACACCGGUCACGAACAUGUCAAGCCCAGGUAAGGUGGGGAUGACGUCAUGGAAGCAAGCU
RNAcentral lists this unclassified non-coding RNA (222 nucleotides) under uncultured Solirubrobacterales bacterium. RNAcentral describes it as "contains 16S-23S intergenic spacer region". The record is from RNAcentral. Lineage: Bacteria; Bacillati; Actinomycetota; Thermoleophilia; Solirubrobacterales.